Molecule: ribosomal RNA, 252 nt
Filed under: uncultured bacterium
Lineage: Bacteria
Description: partial 16S ribosomal RNA
Rfam family: Bacterial small subunit ribosomal RNA
Source: RNAcentral
UACGCAGGGCGCGAGCGUUGUCCGGAAUUAUUGGGCGUAAAGAGCUCGUAGGCGGCUUGUCGCGUCGUCCGUGAAAACCUGCAGCUCAACUGCAGGCUUGCGGUCGAUACGGGCAGGCUAGAGUUCGGUAGAGGAGACUGGAAUUCAUGGUGUAGCAGUGAAAUGCGUAGAGAUCAUGAGGAAGACCAGUGGCGAAGGCGGGUCUCUGGACAGUUCCUGACAUGAGGCACGAAGGCCAGGGGAGCAAACGGG